RNAcentral lists this ribosomal RNA (253 nucleotides) under uncultured bacterium. Its description in RNAcentral is "partial 16S ribosomal RNA". It matches the Rfam family "Bacterial small subunit ribosomal RNA", at positions 524 to 776 of the family's 1533-position model. The record is from RNAcentral.
UACGUAGGCAGCAAGCGUUGUUCGGAAUUACUGGGCGUAAAGCGUGCGCAGGCGGUUCGUUGUGUCUGUGGUGAAAGCCCCGGGCUUAACCUGGGAAUGGCCAUGGAAACUGGCGAGCUGGAGUGUGGCAGAGGGGGGUGGAAUUCCGCGUGUAGCAGUGAAAUGCGUAGAUAUGUGGAGGAACACCGAUGGCGAAGGCAGCCCCCUGGGUCGACACUGACGCUCAUGCACAAAAGCGUGGGGAGCAAACAGG